ACAAGUAAUUAAGAGCAACAGGCGGAUGCCUGGGCGCUGAACGGCGAAGAAAGACGUGGUAAGCUGCGAUAAGCCUCGGGGAGGAGCUAAACAUCCUUUGAUCCGUGGAUGUCUGAAUGGGGAAACCCGCCGGGAGUAAUGUUCCGGCAUCUCCACAUGAAAAGAUAGUGUGGAAGAAGCUGACCCAGGGAAGUGAAACAUCUCAGUACCUGGAGGAAAGGAAAUCAAACGAGACUCCCAAAGUAGCGGCGAGCGAAAUGGGAAGAGCCCAAACCAUGUGGUUUCGACCAUGUGGGGUUGUAGGGCCGCCGGACGUGAUUCUGGAGUAGGCAGGAGAAGUCGGCUGGAAAGCCGCGCCGGAGCGAGUGAAAGCCUCGUAUCCGAAACCGAAAAGGACACAGGCGGUACCUGAGUACCGCGGGGCACGAGAAACCCCGUGGGAAUCCGGGAGGACCAUCUUCCAAGGCUAAGUACGAAUCAGCGACCGAUAGUGAACCAGUACCGUGAGGGAAAGGUGAAAAGAACCCCUGUCAGGGGAGUGAAAGAGAAUCUGAAACCUGUUGCUUACAAGCUGUGGGAGCCACAUAACGGUGGUGACCACGUGCCUUUUGCAUAAUGAGUCAGCGAGUUAAUCUGUCGUGCGAGGUUAAGCGAGAGCGGAGCCGUAGCGAAAGCGAGUCUGAUAAGGGCGACAAGUACGGCGGAUUAGACCCGAAACCGGGUGAUCUAUCCAUGAGCAGGUUGAAGCAAGGGUAAAGCCUUGUGGAGGACCGAACCAGUAUCGGCUGAAAACGAUUUGGAUGACUUGUGGAUAGGGGUGAAAGGUCAAUCAAACCCGGUGAUAGCUGGUUCUCCCCGAAAUAUAUUGAGGUAUAGCCUCGGGGAUUGUCUGUCGGAGGUAAAGCACUGACAAGGCUAGGGGUCCUACCAGAUUACCAAACCUUUUCAAACUCAGAAUGCCGACAAGAUGUACCCCGGGAGUCAGACGGCGGGUGCUAAGGUCCGUCGUCGAGAGGGUAAGAGCCCAGAUCGACAGCUAAGGUCUCGAAAUCCAUGCUCAGUGGUGAAGGUGGUGGAGUUGUACAGACAGCCAGGACGUUGGCUUAGAAGCAGCCAUCGUUUAAAGAAAGCGUAAUAGCUCACUGGUCUAAUGACUCUGCGCCGAAAAUGUAACGGGGCUAAGCAUGGUACCGAAGCUUCGGAUUCCUCUUUUGAGGAGUGGUAGGGGAGCGUUCUCUAUGGGCAGAAGCUGCAUUGUAAAGUGCGGUGGACGGUAGAGAAGUGAUUAUGCUGACAUGAGUAACGAUAAAACAGGUGAAAAACCUGUUCGCCGAAAACCCAAGGUUUCCUGGGUAAAGUUAAUCUUCCCAGGGUGAGUCGGACCCUAAGGCGAGGGCGAAAGCCGUAGCUGAUGGAAAACGGGUUAAUAUUCCCGUACUUCUUAUGGUGUGCGAUGGAGGGACGCAGAAAGAUAGGUGGGCCAACUGUUGGAUGUUGGUGCAAGCUGGUAGGAAUGCCUCGCCGGCAAAUCCGCGAGGUGAAUCCGAGAAGCGAGUCCGUGGGCGCAAGCCCUGAAGCCAUUGAGUCUCCGCUGCCAAGAAAAGCUCCUAAGUUUAGCCAUGAGGACCCGUACUGCAAACCAACUCAGGUGGGUGGGAUGAAUAAUCCGAGGCGCUCGAGAGAACUCUGGCCAAGGAACUCGGCAAAAUGACCCCGUAACUUCGGAAGAAGGGGUGCUUUUUCAGGUGACCAUUUUUACAUUGGAAGCCGGAGGAAGCCGCAGUGAAUUGGUGGUGGCGACUGUUUACUAAAAACAUAGGUCUGUGCGAAGUCGCAAGACGACGUAUACGGACUGACGCCUGCCCGGUGCCGGAAGGUUAAGAGGAGAGGUCAGCGCAAGCGAAGCCUUGAAUCGAAGCCCCGGUAAACGGCGGCCGUAACUAUAACGGUCCUAAGGUAGCGAAAUUCCUUGUCGGGUAAGUUCCGACCUGCACGAAUGGCGUAACGAUCUCCACACUGUCUCGGCCAGAGACUCGGUGAAAUUGAAGUCGCGGUGAAAAUGCCGUGUAC
This 2070-nucleotide ribosomal RNA is filed under the name metagenome. RNAcentral's name for it is "bacterial LSU rRNA". It matches the Rfam family "Bacterial large subunit ribosomal RNA", at positions 1 to 2069 of the family's 2925-position model. The record is from RNAcentral.